UCGAGAAUCUUCGGCAAUGGGCGCAAGCCUGACCGAGCGACGCCGCGUGUGGGAUGAAGGCCCUUGGGUUGUAAACCACUGUCAGAGGGGAUGAAAUGCGGGAGAGCUAUCUCUUCCGUUUGACAUAGCCUCAGAGGAAGCACGGGCUAAGUUCGUGCCAGCAGCCGCGGUAAUACGAACUGUGCAAACGUUAUUCGGAAUCACUGGGCUUACAGGGUGCGUAGGCGGUCUGUUAAGUAGGGUGUGAAAGCCCCCGGCUCAACCGGGGAAUUGCGCCCUAAACUGGCGGACUGGAGUGAGAUAGGGGUGUGCGGAACUUCCGGUGGAGCGGUGAAAUGUGUUGAUAUCGGAAGGAACGCCGGUGGCGAAAGCGGCACACUGGAUCUCAACUGACGCUGAGGCACGAAAGCCAGGGGAGCGAACGG
Molecule: ribosomal RNA, 425 nt
Filed under: uncultured bacterium
Lineage: Bacteria
Description: bacterial SSU rRNA
Rfam family: Bacterial small subunit ribosomal RNA
Source: RNAcentral